Molecule: ribosomal RNA, 206 nt
Filed under: uncultured eukaryote
Lineage: Eukaryota
Description: partial 18S ribosomal RNA
Rfam family: Eukaryotic small subunit ribosomal RNA
Source: RNAcentral
GUUAAAAGCUCGUAGUUGGAUUUCUGUUGAGGACGGCCGGUCCGCACUAUGUGCGUGUAUCUGGUUCGGCCUUGGCAUCCUCCUGAGGAACGUUCCUGCGCUUGAUUGCGUGGGGCGGUAUUCAAGACUUUUACUUUGAGGAAAUUAGAGUGUUCACGGCAGGCAAGCGCCUUGAAUACAUUAGCAUGGAAUAAUAAUAUAGGAUC